GACAGCCACCAUGCCAUGAGGCGUUUCAGAAGCCCUGCAGAGAGGCUCACACAGACAUGCCUUGAGGCUUUCCAUCAACAGCCAGCACCGCUGGGAGUGGAGUGAGCGCGUGGAAGGGCCACCCUCCAAGUGGAUUCUCCUGCUGCAGCCAAGCCUUCAAACGACCACAGAUCAGCAACCUGCUGCCUGGAAUUAUUGAAGAGCUGAUCACGGUCAUGGAGCUAAUUUACAGCCAAGCUGGAAUUCACACGCAGGCCAUGCCGUACAGGUCAUCCGAGUGAGUGUCAGGCAUUGGAGACGCAGACGUGAAAACAGGAAGAAAAAAAAAGAAUCACCAAGAUACCAGACCUGAUAUUGCUGAGCUGCUAAAGCAAUGCCAGUGACCAUCUAGCCUCCAGAAUUGUUGUCGUACCAGAAAAACAGAAAAUUGGUUUCAAGACACUGUUUGAAGUGAGCUGCUAUUUUACACAGCCAAGUCCAACUGUAAGAGAAAGGAGUUAGAUUUCUAUCACUUGUGACCUGAAGAGUCCUGCUCAGUGACCUGGUCUUUCCCCCAGGGAGUCCGUGGUCGUCCCUCCAGAUACCGUAAGUUUAUUCACAGGUAAAACGGAACACUACUUGUUAGGAUUGUUUAAGAGCUGCAGGAUGCC
Molecule: long non-coding RNA, 650 nt
Organism: Hyaena hyaena (striped hyena)
Lineage: Eukaryota; Metazoa; Chordata; Mammalia; Carnivora; Hyaenidae
Exons: 4
Source: RefSeq, a predicted model, not a curated record